This 137-nucleotide ribosomal RNA is filed under the name uncultured Trebouxiophyceae. Its description in RNAcentral is "partial small subunit ribosomal RNA". It matches the Rfam family "Eukaryotic small subunit ribosomal RNA", at positions 1670 to 1804 of the family's 1831-position model. Lineage: Eukaryota; Viridiplantae; Chlorophyta; Trebouxiophyceae. The record is from RNAcentral.
CGCCCGUCGCUCCUACCGAUUGGGUGUGCUGGUGAGAUGUCGGGAUUAGUGGCUGUGGGCGGUUCGCCGCCCUCUGCCGCUGAGAACUUCAUCAAACCCUCCCACCUAGAGGAAGGAGAAGUCGUAACAGGGUUCCU